This 836-nucleotide ribosomal RNA is filed under the name uncultured archaeon. RNAcentral describes it as "bacterial SSU rRNA". It matches the Rfam family "Archaeal small subunit ribosomal RNA", at positions 85 to 922 of the family's 1478-position model. The record is from RNAcentral.
ACAGCUCAGUAACACGUAGUCAACCUAACCUAUGGACGGGAAUAACCUCGGGAAACUGAGAAUAAUGCCCGAUAGAACACUAUACCUGGAAUGGUUUGUGUUCCAAAUGAUUUAUCGCCAUAGGAUGGGACUGCGGCCUAUCAGUUUGUUGGUGAGGUAAUGGCCCACCAAGACUAUUACAGGUACGGGCUCUGAGAGGAGUAGCCCGGAGAUGGGUACUGAGACACGGACCCAGGCCCUAUGGGGCGCAGCAGGCGAGAAAACUUUGCAAUGUGCGAAAGCACGACAAGGUUAAUCCGAGUGAUUUGUGCUAAACGAAUCUUUUGUUAGUCCUAGAAACACUAACGAAUAAGGGGUGGGCAAGUUCUGGUGUCAGCCGCCGCGGUAAAACCAGCACCUCAAGUGGUCAGGAUGAUUAUUGGGCCUAAAGCAUCCGUAGCCGGCUCUGUAAGUUUUCGGUUAAAUCUGUACGCUUAACGUACAGGCUGCCGGGAAUACUGCAAAGCUAGGGAGUGGGAGAGGUAGACGGUACUCGGUAGGAAGUGGUAAAAUGCUUUGAUCUAUCGAUGACCACCUGUGGCGAAGGCGGUCUACCAGAACACGUCCGACGGUGAGGGAUGAAAGUUGGGGGAGCAAACCGGAUUAGAUACCCGGGUAGUCCCAGCUGUAAACUAUGCAAACUCAGUGAUGCAUUGGCUUGUGGCCAGUGCAGUGCUGCAGGGAAGCCGUUAAGUUUGCCGCCUGGGAAGUACGUACGCAAGUAUGAAACUUAAAGGAAUUGGCGGGGGAGCACCACAAGGGGUGAAGCCUGCGGUUCAAUUGGACUCAACGCCGGU